UACUUAUAAGCUGUGCUAAGCUAAACAGGUUUAGCGUGACUAGAAAAAUGUGCUUGUGUCCUAAACCAUGGUAUCAAACAACAUGCAAGAGUAGUAACAUGCAAUUUAAUAAUUGUUUUGAAUCUCUGGCAGCAGUGCAAAUAAUACAUGUCCACAGUAUAAAAUAAGCAGAUGAGGUGAAGUGUAUUCAACUCUCAACAGCAACCAGUGAGACAUUUCCUAUACAUAAUUUAUUCUUUGCUGCUUAUUUUCAAUAAAAACACAGAUUAAUAUAAAGUGCAAGUCUAUUUACAAAGCAGAAAUGCUUUAUUAAAGGAUUGUGUAGUAAUACAAUGCUUUGCAAAAGUAUGCUGUGUUUUUCUUCAGCAUUGUAGGUCAUGGCUUUACUUGUGACACAAAAAGGACAAACGUGUUUAAAGAAUCUCCUUCAUUAUAUCUAACAGAAACUGAGCCAUUUUGUCUCAAAUCAGGAAGAGACACACAUUAAAAACCUGCAGCAGAAUAUUAAUAACACGUUUCAUUGUGUGUGUGUGUGUGUGUUUUUUAAAGCAUAACUAUUUUUUCCCACUUGACAAUUCUGUUGGUCUGUCACAUGGAAUCCAUUUAAGUUUGUAAUUGGAACAGGGAAAAAUGUGGAAAAGCUGAAAAUAUAAGACCUUUGAUAAAUGGUUUUGGUCAAAUGUUUCACUAUGACAUCAAGACGACAGAAAAGGUUGCAAACAAAUUAUGUUAAAUUAAAAAGAAAGUCUUCUCUGUCCACACCAUGAUGCAGUAUCUUCACACCCUAAAAGUUCACGCUUGCUGCUUCGCUUACAUGAUUUAUGCAAAACUGCAGAAACAUUUAGUCACUUUUCAUGUACUUUAAAAAAGGCACUUUACAGGCUAAAGGGGAACCAUUUGAUAUGAUUUUAUCUGUCAACAUUAACUGUUUCAGAGUCUGGUUUAAGUUUUUAAAUGUUCAAAUUGCACUACAGAAAUCCUGCUGCCUCCUAGUGUUUGGAUGGAGAAGAAGCAAGUUUUACAGAUAUAAACAACUUUAAAAAGCAUCAUUAUAACCACAGAAACUUCACCGUUCAGUCACUGAGUCAGCAUGAGGAUCUUGUUCUCAGAAGAAUAAAACAGGCUGUAAAGGCUUGUGAAGCUCAGUGGUAUGAAACUCUGAAGAGUUUUACAGUGAAAGGUCAAGUCACUGGAAGUUAGGUCAGUUAAAGUCAUGAGCUGCAUUAUUGCUGGCUUGUGAAAAUAGAGUACAUAUCUGAUUUCUCUGCAUAAUGUUUCUUGUUUGAGGCACAUUAAACAGGACUUGAGCAUAAAAUCACCACAGAGAUUAAAGCUGGCAGUAGUUCACUCUGAUCCUUUGACCCUUUGCUCGAGAUGCCGUGCUCUUGGCCAUGAUGCAAAUCAGAACAACUGAUGUGUAAGUUGACUCCUGUAGAGAUUGUCCAGAAAA
This is a long non-coding RNA of Poecilia latipinna (sailfin molly), 1450 nucleotides long. RefSeq lists it as uncharacterized. Lineage: Eukaryota; Metazoa; Chordata; Actinopteri; Cyprinodontiformes; Poeciliidae. The transcript is spliced from 2 exons. The record is from RefSeq and is a predicted model, not a curated record.